RNAcentral lists this long non-coding RNA (1548 nucleotides) under Sorghum bicolor (sorghum). Its description in RNAcentral is "long non-coding RNA (SBIC_LNC003355)". Lineage: Eukaryota; Viridiplantae; Streptophyta; Magnoliopsida; Poales; Poaceae. The record is from RNAcentral.
UUUUUUUUUGCCUUUUGAAAGAUCCAAUGGCUGAGGACCAGAAGCUCCGAUGAAACCAAACAAACUGCCCCUAAUAAGCACGCCAGCUCACAUUUGAUCAAAGUCGUGAGGUGGUGAUCAGUCCAUCAAUUCACCUUUGCUCUUGCCUGUGGCAAAUAUCAAACUAGAUAAGCAUGAAAGAAAUUUAAAAAAAGAGUAAAUUUGGUGUUGUCGAUGCUGGCAGCAGCAGGAUAUUAUAAAACACAGUUGGAUGACCAGGUAGUCUCUGGUCGUGUUAAUGUGUUACCAUAGUCUGUCACUAGAUGCGUCAGGGAUUUGAUCUUGCCUUGCUGCUCUCCCUUCCUUCCUAUGGGCUGGUUGAGCUAGCCUCAUUCUAGGAUAACCAAACAAAUCCUAAUUUGGAUUGGGGGGCUGGGGUGACCAGGUGAGAUGGAACGUGUGCGUCAUCAUGGAACCAUCAAGGGGAAAGACAGGAUCGACACUACUGCAUACAGGGCUUUGCCCAGAGCCUGAGACGCUCGGCAAAGGCAGUUUAGCUCUCGGCAAAGGCUUUAACGAGAGUAGCUCUCGGGAAAAGCCUAUCGGCACAUCUUUUAUCGGCAAAGAGGUCUUUGCCGAGAGCCAUUCAUCGGGCUCUCGGCAAAGGGUUUGCCGAGAUCCAAACCUAGCUCUCGGCAAAGAAAAGUAGCCAUUACGGCUGUUGGCGGAUGACGGCGAUUUUGCCGAGAGCUACCUGACCGAGCUCUCGGCAAAAAAAUUUAAUUUUUUUUUCUGGAAAAGGUCUUUGCCGAGAGCUGGCAGGAGGGCUCUUGACAAAGAGAUUAAUUUUUUUUUAAAAAAAACCUCUUUGCCGAGAGCCUCCAGGAGGGCUCUCGGCAAAGUAAUUAAUUUUUUUUGAAAACCUCUUUGCCGAGAGCCUCCUGGAGGGCUCUCGGCAAAGUAAUUAAUUUUUUUGAAAACCUCUUUGCCGAGAGCCUCCUCGGCAAAGUAAUUAAUUUUUUUUGAAAACCUCUUUGCCGAGAGCCUCCAGGAGGGCUCUCGGCAAAGCUGGUUAUUUGGCCAUGCAGAUGGCUCCUUUGCCGAGAGCCCUGGCCCUGGCUCUCGGCAAAUCGACCAUUUUUUUAGCUUUGCCGAGAGCCCCUCUCGGCAAAUCGACCAUUUUUUCAACUUUGCCGAGAGCCCCUCUCGGCAAAUCGACCAAAAACUUUUUUUCCUGUUUUUUCGUCCAAUUUCUACUGAAAUGAUCAUAUGGCACAUAUAUUUCUAGAAAAUCACAUAUUUCACAUCCAAGAGCCUAUAGCUCACAUAUUCGACAUCGAUGACAAUAUAUACCACAUAAUCCACAUAAAUGAUUAUUUCCAUCACUUUGUCCAUCAUAACAAGUUCAAAUACUCCAAACUAACUUCACAUACAUCCAAACUAAGUCCAACAUGUUCAAUAACCACAUUCCACAAAGUUCACAUGUUUAAACAAAAUAAAUCCAUCACCACAUAGUCCACAUACUCCAAACUAACUGCAUCUCAAGCUAAGUCGACCUGACUCACUGUG